UCCCGGGUUGUAGCUGAAGGGUCGUUGCCCCCAACAUUGCUGAUGACAAUAGUUUGAUUAUACAUUAUACUAAUUAUUUAAAACGAAGUAUAGUUUGAUUCCGAUCCACACUAAGAUGCAUAAAUUUGUAACCUUCUCUUUGCUCAACUCCAACAUGUCUUUGGACUGCAUCAUGCUAAAGCAAAACAUAUAGUAACUAAAUUCUCAAAAACUUUGGCUUCCUUCCUUAUUCCAAUAUGCCAACCAAAAUGGUGAGUUGCAGCAGAGGUAAGGCAGUGCUAGUAAGGGUAUAUGCUGAGAAGCAUGGGAAGAGGAGAUCAUCAAUUCAACAGCAUCGCCACCACCACCAUGUCCAUCAAACAUUUAGACAAGAGGCGCAUAGUUCUGCAAGUAAGGGAUAUGAUAGAAGAGCAGGGUUGCUUAACUACUCGCAUCAAUUGCGCGCGUCCGCAAAAGGAACAUCUGCAUCUUCCACACCCUUACUCUCCAUGUCUACUAACAUCCAUGUUCACACAGCUCCAACCAAGCUUCUGGCUUUUGAUCAUUCUUGUAGGGUAUGCUGAAAUGUAUGUUAAGAAUAUAAUAUGUAGUGAAGGAGUUUCCUCCGUGUUACCGUUUUGCAGAUGACCUCUCCCAAGAAAAAGCCCAAUUAUACUGGAACACCAACUUGCUUUGGCAAUUGGAAACUAUUGAUUCCAAGCUUCUUAAGAUCAUGGUGCAAUGCCCCAAAAAAGAAGAAAAAGGUGCAUAGCAGAUUUUUAGAAAACCGCAUGAAAAUUUUCCAGAAAAGGAGAGGAAGGAAUUUCUUUUCGAAUGUGUACUCAGUAAGACGGACGCGUGCUUGUGUUUAGGAUCAAUUUUGUUGUGGCUUUUCACUUUUCUCAAUGGUGCAAUGUCUCGAUACAGCUAAGUUCUUGUCUUACCUAACUGCCAAUUAUUGAUAAGCACAUUCAAACUGCUUGAAUUGGCUCUACAUUGUCAUUUAUAGGUGUGAUGGACCAAGACUUCAAUUUAUAUAUCUAGAAAUCUUAUUCAGUAUUUCAUUGAUUUAUAACUUGCAUCUCUAUAUAUAUAAAUAAAUAAAUAAAACACGACUAAUCACGUAAGAACUAUCAUGGUUAA
This is a non-coding RNA of Arachis ipaensis, 1122 nucleotides long. NCBI's taxonomy places the organism in Eukaryota, Viridiplantae, Streptophyta, Magnoliopsida, Fabales, Fabaceae. The record is from RefSeq and is a predicted model, not a curated record.